CGCCCGUCGCUCCUACCGAUUGGGUGUGCUGGUGAAGAGUUCGGAUUGGCGAUAUCUGGUGGCAACGCCGAAUGUCGCCGAGAAGUUCUUUAAACCCUCCCACCUAGAGGAAGGAGAAGUCGUAACAAGGUUUCC
Molecule: ribosomal RNA, 135 nt
Filed under: uncultured Trebouxiophyceae
Lineage: Eukaryota; Viridiplantae; Chlorophyta; Trebouxiophyceae
Description: partial small subunit ribosomal RNA
Rfam family: Eukaryotic small subunit ribosomal RNA
Source: RNAcentral